GUCGGUGUGGUGGAACGGUAGACACGCCAGCCUUAGGAGCUGGUCCCGCAAGGGGUGGAGGUUCGAAUCCUCUCGCCGACA
This 81-nucleotide transfer RNA is filed under the name Candidatus Dormiibacterota bacterium. RNAcentral's name for it is "tRNA-Leu". It matches the Rfam family "tRNA". From Rfam's summary of the family: Transfer RNA (tRNA) molecules are approximately 80 nucleotides in length. Their secondary structure includes four short double-helical elements and three loops (D, anti-codon, and T loops). Further hydrogen bonds mediate the characteristic L-shaped molecular structure. tRNAs have two regions of fundamental functional importance: the anti-codon, which is responsible for specific mRNA codon recognition, and the 3' end, to which the tRNAs corresponding amino acid is attached (by aminoacyl-tRNA synthetases). tRNAs cope with the degeneracy of the genetic code in two manners: having more than one tRNA (with a specific anti-codon) for a particular amino acid; and 'wobble' base-pairing, i.e. permitting non-standard base-pairing at the 3rd anti-codon position. The record is from RNAcentral. RNAcentral also lists the same sequence under 2 other names. Lineage: Bacteria; Bacillati; Candidatus Dormiibacterota.